Molecule: ribosomal RNA, 278 nt
Filed under: Pseudomonas sp. ATCC 13867
Lineage: Bacteria; Pseudomonadati; Pseudomonadota; Gammaproteobacteria; Pseudomonadales; Pseudomonadaceae
Description: partial 16S ribosomal RNA
Rfam family: Bacterial small subunit ribosomal RNA
Source: RNAcentral
CGGUGACAAACCGGAGGAAGGUGGGGAUGACGUCAAGUCAUCAUGGCCCUUACGGCCAGGGCUACACACGUGCUACAAUGGUCGGUACAGAGGGUUGCCAAGCCGCGAGGUGGAGCUAAUCCCAUAAAACCGAUCGUAGUCCGGAUCGCAGUCUGCAACUCGACUGCGUGAAGUCGGAAUCGCUAGUAAUCGUGAAUCAGAAUGUCACGGUGAAUACGUUCCCGGGCCUUGUACACACCGCCCGUCACACCAUGGGAGUGGGUUGCUCCAGAAGUAGC